RNAcentral lists this ribosomal RNA (1435 nucleotides) under Weissella confusa. RNAcentral describes it as "bacterial SSU rRNA". It matches the Rfam family "Bacterial small subunit ribosomal RNA". Lineage: Bacteria; Bacillati; Bacillota; Bacilli; Lactobacillales; Lactobacillaceae. The record is from RNAcentral.
AACUGAUUUGAAGAAGCUUGCUCAGAUAUGACGAUGGACAUUGCAAAGAAGUGGCGAACGGGUGAGUAACACGUGGGAAACCUACCUCUUAGCAGGGGAUAACAUUUGGAAACAGAUGCUAAUACCGUAUAACAAUGACAACCGCAUGGUUGUUAUUUAAAAGAUGGUUCUGCUAUCACUAAGAGAUGGUCCCGCGGUGCAUUAGCUAGUUGGUAAGGUAAUGGCUUACCAAGGCGAUGAUGCAUAGCCGAGUUGAGAGACUGAUCGGCCACAAUGGGACUGAGACACGGCCCAUACUCCUACGGGAGGCAGCAGUAGGGAAUCUUCCACAAUGGGCGAAAGCCUGAUGGAGCAACGCCGCGUGUGUGAUGAAGGGUUUCGGCUCGUAAAACACUGUUGUAAGAGAAGAAUGACAUUGAGAGUAACUGUUCAAUGUGUGACGGUAUCUUACCAGAAAGGAACGGCUAAAUACGUGCCAGCAGCCGCGGUAAUACGUAUGUUCCAAGCGUUAUCCGGAUUUAUUGGGCGUAAAGCGAGCGCAGACGGUUAUUUAAGUCUGAAGUGAAAGCCCUCAGCUCAACUGAGGAAUUGCUUUGGAAACUGGAUGACUUGAGUGCAGUAGAGGAAAGUGGAACUCCAUGUGUAGCGGUGAAAUGCGUAGAUAUAUGGAAGAACACCAGUGGCGAAGGCGGCUUUCUGGACUGUAACUGACGUUGAGGCUCGAAAGUGUGGGUAGCAAACAGGAUUAGAUACCCUGGUAGUCCACACCGUAAACGAUGAGUGCUAGGUGUUUGAGGGUUUCCGCCCUUAAGUGCCGCAGCUAACGCAUUAAGCACUCCGCCUGGGGAGUACGACCGCAAGGUUGAAACUCAAAGGAAUUGACGGGGACCCGCACAAGCGGUGGAGCAUGUGGUUUAAUUCGAAGCAACGCGAAGAACCUUACCAGGUCUUGACAUCCCUUGACAACUCCAGAGAUGGAGUGUUCCCUUCGGGGACAAGGUGACAGGUGGUGCAUGGUUGUCGUCAGCUCGUGUCGUGAGAUGUUGGGUUAAGUCCCGCAACGAGCGCAACCCUUAUUACUAGUUGCCAGCAUUCAGUUGGGCACUCUAGUGAGACUGCCGGUGACAAACCGGAGGAAGGUGGGGAUGACGUCAAAUCAUCAUGCCCCUUAUGACCUGGGCUACACACGUGCUACAAUGGCGUAUACAACGAGUUGCCAACCCGCGAGGGUGAGCUAAUCUCUUAAAGUACGUCUCAGUUCGGAUUGUAGGCUGCAACUCGCCUACAUGAAGUCGGAAUCGCUAGUAAUCGCGGAUCAGCACGCCGCGGUGAAUACGUUCCCGGGUCUUGUACACACCGCCCGUCACACCAUGAGAGUUUGUAACACCCAAAGCCGGUGGGGUAACCUUCGGGAGCCAGCCGUCUAAGUGGGACA